RNAcentral lists this transfer RNA (73 nucleotides) under Bos indicus (zebu cattle). It matches the Rfam family "tRNA". Rfam says of the family: Transfer RNA (tRNA) molecules are approximately 80 nucleotides in length. Their secondary structure includes four short double-helical elements and three loops (D, anti-codon, and T loops). Lineage: Eukaryota; Metazoa; Chordata; Mammalia; Artiodactyla; Bovidae. The record is from Rfam by way of RNAcentral.
UCCCUGGCAGUCCAGUGGUCAGGACACUGCCCUUCCACUGCAGGGGGCACAGGUUCCAUCCCUGGUUGGGGAA